Nicotiana attenuata is the source of this 2276-nucleotide RNA transcript. It is a transcript of the gene named carbon catabolite repressor protein 4 homolog 5, with no coding region annotated. The transcript has 15 exons. NCBI's taxonomy places the organism in Eukaryota, Viridiplantae, Streptophyta, Magnoliopsida, Solanales, Solanaceae. The record is from RefSeq and is a predicted model, not a curated record.
UCAUUAAUGACAAAAUAAGAGGGAUAAAUUUUCUAAUAUUCGAAAAUAUAGGGCCAAUUGUAACAUAGCGGCAUACUUGUGCAUCUUUCACUUUUCCCCUAUUCGUCCGAUAAAGGGUUAAGCACGCGCCGCCAAAAUUUAAAUCUCCCGGGAACAUGGGCCGAACCGGCGACGGCAGAUAUCCACCGGCGGAGAAGCCUUCUCGGUCUUCCGAUUCAAAGAGAAGUAGAACUAGUCAACACGACGUUGGUCAACACCGCAGCAAAAAGAAGCAAAGAGUAACAAUACGUCAAACUGAGACUGAAACUGAAACCCUAACCCUGAAUCAUACUUCCACUUCUUAUACCCAUACAUAUGCAACUUCCAACACUUAUUCGUAUAAUAGGCGCAAAGAAAAACGGCAUAAAGGAAAAUCAAAGAGGACGAGUGCAGAGGAUAAGCGCAAGUGGGUUUAUUCUACUCACAAUGUUUCCCCAUAUCAAGAUAGGGUUGUUUUUAUGUCGUAUAAUAUACUAGGGGUAAAAAAUGCAGCUGAUCAUGAGGAUCUGUACCACAAUGUUGCUCCAAAAUAUUUGGAUUGGGACUACCGCAAGCGGCUUAUUCGCAAGGAAAUUAGAGAAUAUAAUCCGGGUAUAAUGUGUUUCCAGGAGGUUGAUUGUUAUGAUGAUUUAGAUUAUCUCCUCAAGAAAGAGGGCUUCAAAGGAGUUUAUCAGGCUCGUACAGGUGAUGCAUGUGAUGGUUGUGCUAUAUUUUGGAACAGAGAACUAUUUGACCUUCUGCACGAGGAGAGCAUAGAAUUCCAGAAGUUUGAUCUACGCAAUAAUGUUUGCCAACUUUGUGUUUUCAAGAUGAACGUGAAAAACUCAAGUAAGGAUAUGGGUGCUUCAAAUUCGGAGAGUAUAUCAUCACGAAGCUUUGUGGUUGGCAAUAUUCAUGUACUCUUCAACCCUAACCGCGGAGACAUUAAGUUGGGGCAGGUUAGACUAUUUCUUGAGAGUGCCCAAAGGCUAUCACUAGAGUGGGGUGAUAUACCAGUUGUGCUAGCUGGAGAUCUUAAUAGUAUGCCCCAGAGUGCAAUGUAUCAGUUUUUGACUUCAAGUAAGUUGGACAUCCAAAUGCAUGAACGGAAGCAAAUUUCUGGCCAAAUCUAUCCAUCACAAAAUAGAAGCUUCAAGUCAAGCUUAAUUUAUAGAUGGAGUGAUGAGGAGCUAAGGCUUGCUACCGGGACAGGAGCUAGUCACCUGAUACAUCAAUUACAGCUGAGCAGUGCCUAUGCUGGAGUUCCUGGAAGCUCUGGAACCAGGGACAACUCUGGAGAACCCUUGGUGACAUCAUAUCACUCCAAGUUUAUGGGGACUGUUGACUAUAUAUGGCACACAACAGAGUUUGUUCCAGUAAGAGUUCUUGAUACCUUACCUAUUGAUAUUUUAAGGAGAACAGGAGGGCUUCCUAGUAAGAAAUGGGGAAGUGAUCAUCUUGCUCUAGUGUGUGAACUGGCUUUUACUGAUGGAGGCAGUGAGACUUGACCAUUCCUUCCCGUCCAACUUCUUCUUCGUAGUAGCUUGAAAUACCAUGCGGCAGGGCGACCUUGAUGAAGUUAUGCUGCAGUGGUGCUUGCACUUUGAAAAGCAGCUCCAUGUAUCCACUCAGCAUCCAGACACUGCAACGAUAAGCUUUUGAGUUCAGGUGCAUAUAAGAUCCUAGUGCAAACAAAGGAACUGAGGACAAGGAGGAACAUGGGGUUGCAAGAGCAUCAAUCAUUGAUCCUACGGUUAGUAAGAAAAUUGCUGCAAUAUGCAUCAGGCUCAUUAACAAAAAAUUCCCUCAAAUAACUGUAUCGGCGCGGCACGGUCCACAAAAUGUUGAUUUGUUAACAAAAAUAUCCGGAGUGUUGAUGGCUGGUGGGCGAAGUUGUGGAUAGUAUGUGAAUACCACUGCAAAUGUCGUCAAAGGACAGUGUCAGGUGAAACAAUCCACAACUUCGUAUUUGAUGCCAGACCAUGAGAAAAGUGUUGGUGAUCAAUUCCCUAAGAACAAGAACAGUGGGAAGUAACGGAUGCUGGUGGUCAAACCAUUUGAGACUCGAGUAUUCAUAUUAGUGUUAAUAUUUGUGUUUUCUAUUAUUAUAGUGAUAUGGACAGCACAGUUUCACCCGAAGCAAACGGGUUUUGUUUCCGACAAAGAAUGGAUUAUUCAUUGUAACCAGUGAAUAAGUAAAUGCAACCUUAAAAAGAGAGAGAUAUGAACGUUUAUGUUGCGUUCAAAUAUCAAGUCAA